UACGUAGGGACCAAGCGUUGUUCGGAUUUACUGGGCGUAAAGGGCGCGUAGGCGGCAAUUCAAGUCAGCUGUGAAAUCUCCGGGCUUAACUCGGAACGGCCAAUCGAUACUGACGUGCUAGAGUGCAGAAAGGGCAAUCGGAAUUCUUGGUGUAGCGGUGAAAUGCGUAGAUAUCAAGAGGAACACCUGAGGCGAAGGCGGGUUGCUAGGCUGACACUGACGCUGAGUGCGCGAAAGCCAGGGGAGCAAACGGG
Molecule: ribosomal RNA, 254 nt
Filed under: uncultured bacterium
Lineage: Bacteria
Description: partial 16S ribosomal RNA
Rfam family: Bacterial small subunit ribosomal RNA
Source: RNAcentral